RNAcentral lists this ribosomal RNA (446 nucleotides) under uncultured bacterium. Its description in RNAcentral is "partial 16S ribosomal RNA". It matches the Rfam family "Bacterial small subunit ribosomal RNA", at positions 338 to 795 of the family's 1533-position model. The record is from RNAcentral.
CCUACGGGUGGCAGCAGUCGAGAAUCAUUCACAAUGGGGGAAACCCUGAUGGGGCGACGCCGCGUGGGGGAAUGAAGGUCUGCGGAUUGUAAACCCCUGUCAUGUGGGAGCAAAUUCAAAAGAUAGUACCACAAGAGGAAGAGACGGCUAACUCUGUGCCAGCAGCCGCGGUAAUACAGAGGUCUCAAGCGUUGUUCGGAAUCACUGGGCGUAAAGGGUGCGUAGGCUGUUUCGUAAGUCGUGUGUGAAAGGCGCGGGCUCAACCCGCGGACGGCACCUGAAACUGUGAGACUAGAGUAAGGGAGGGGGAACCGGAAUUCUCGGUGUAGCGGUGAAAUGCGUAGAUAUCGGGAGGAACACUCGUGGCGAAGGCAGGUUCCUGGACAUUAACUGACGCUGAGGCACGAAGGCCUGGGGAGCGAACAGGAUUAGAUACCCCAGUAGUC